Papaver somniferum (opium poppy) is the source of this 1712-nucleotide long non-coding RNA. RefSeq lists it as uncharacterized. The transcript is spliced from 2 exons. NCBI's taxonomy places the organism in Eukaryota, Viridiplantae, Streptophyta, Magnoliopsida, Ranunculales, Papaveraceae. The record is from RefSeq and is a predicted model, not a curated record.
UUUCAUUUCUUCCCAAAUUAUUAUUUUUUUUUUUUUUUUUUUUGUUUCUGGAGCAGCCGAAAGAGUGAAGAAAAGGAAGCCCUAAGUCACGUUCUGGUGGUAGUUUCUAGCUAUCAAAUCUAACGAUAUCGGUUCAUGUUCUUUGAAAUAUGGAACGACUUGUUCGAUUUCAAGCAAAAUAAUCAAAUCAACAUCGAAUAGGUUUCAAUCUGUAUUUAAGUAUCAAGGAAAUUGGUUUAUCUGGUUAAUGCGAUAUUAAGGUUUUGUUGAGAUUUUCAUGAAAUUAAGAGAUUCUCAAGUGAAAUAGGGUUGCAAGUGUAAUAACCGAAAGGAAUACACAGAUUUCUCCAACGAGUUUUCAAGAGAAGAACACGAAGAUGAUUAUCAGUUGCUGAUGAUGAGUGAUUAACGAAUCUGGUGCUGCUACUAAAUUUGAGUUGGAAUAAAGGGGAUUUGAUGUUGUAGAAAGAGUGGGUUUCUCUACGAGUUCAAAUUGGAGCUUGUGACGAUCACUGGAGAUGUUACAAAGAUGGGAUAGUUCUGGUUCGAGUUAUAUGAGAAGAUUCGAGAGAUUGAUUAUGAAGACGGAUGAUGAGCAGCAGGUACAAAUGGAUGUUGAAGUGAUGGUUUGAGCUACAUGCAGUAUUGGUCUUAGGCUGAGAUGGCUGCAAAUGAAUGAUUGCAUGUGAUGAUGUUAGUUAGCUAGCCAUGGAUGGUGAUGUUGCUUUGAGAUUAUGUAUCUUAAAUGCUUAGGAUUUGAAUUGCAGUCGAAAGGAAUAGCAGAUGGAGCUGCUGGUUUAGAUGGAUUUGUAGAAUAUAGGGAAGUUGCAAGCAAUGGCAGUUGCAAGCAGGUGCAGGUUAUUGAAGCUGCAGUUCUGUUGUUGGUGGUGUUUGAACUCAUGAGACUAUAGCUGAGUUUAGCUCAAUGGAGGGAACAAAUGGAGGUGCUGAAAUGGUGUUGGAUGUGUGUCAACUGUCAAUGUCUAAGAGAUAGAGGUAAUGGUAUUGAAUCGGCGGUAUUGUUGUGGCAGAAGUGCAACCGAAAUUGGAAGCCACGACAAAGGAUUGAAGGUUUGAGAUGAAAUGAUGUGCUAUGAAUUAGAUGUAUGCUAGGAUUGAAAUGUAUGAAACCUACAGGGAAGGAGUUGGUUUUUCCGAGCUCCUGGUGGUGUUAAACUGAGGUUUGAAGGUGUCUAUGUUAGUAAUGCAGUCAAAUGGGACCAAGAAUGGAAGUCGUGGUGAUGGUAUGGCUGUGACAGAGUGAGCUGCAAAAUGGUUGAGGUGAUGUCAAAAAGGUGUGAUUCGAAUGGAUUUGCUGGUGAUUAAUAGGUGCAAGCAGUACUAUUGCUUUUGGGAGCUCGUCAUGAACCUAUUGCUGCGCGUAAGCCUCUAUUUUUGAUGCUAUGGGUUUUGAGUUGAUGCUGUUGAAUCAACUUAUUGCAGUAAAGGUAGGCCUGUCAAUAUUUGUCCGAUUUCCGAUAUCCGUUUCCGAGUUUAUCCGUUUUAUCGGAUAUCGGAUAUCAGAUCGGAUAUUUUAUCGGAUAUUUCUUCCUUAACAUAUCGGAAACGGAUUAGACCCCAUCCGAAAUCUUAAUAUCCGAUAUCCGAUAGUAUAGGAACUUAUUUGUAAUUUAUUCUAAUUUCGAAUCUGGUAUCGAAUAUUAUCGGAUAAAUAUCCCAUAAGUGUCAAUUAUGAAAAUGUUUUACAAGGG